Non-coding RNA from Phasianus colchicus (ring-necked pheasant), 927 nucleotides. Lineage: Eukaryota; Metazoa; Chordata; Aves; Galliformes; Phasianidae. The record is from RefSeq and is a predicted model, not a curated record.
GGGGAGAGGACAAAACCUUCAGAGCUGGUGGAAGUUACGGCCCGCGUGUCUUGGAUCUUCCUUAAAUUAACGCAAAACAGCCCUAAGUUCCUGCAUUUUUGCAGCGUUUCAUCUGACAUUGAACUCAAACAUCUAUAGAAUCAGGGUUGUUAUAUGCCAUGAUGGCAAUGACAAAUGGUGCAUCAGAAGAUAUCUUCCAAGCAUAAUGCCUCAGCAAGAUGCUGCUUUAUCACCUGUGAUGUUCUCAGAUACUGAGUUAAGGUAGUGUAUGUAUGUCCAACCAGAAACUGUGUGUAUAGAAGAAUGCUAAGAUUGUAGCUCAAAGUUAUGCAGGUUACCUGGUCACAGUAGGGAAGGACCUUAUUAAAUUAUGUGUUGAAUUCAAGGAUGCAUAGACAAACUUAGGACUUUUCUAGCAUAUAUGUUGCAAUGAGUACAUAAAUUAAGUUGAGCACAUAUUAUUUCAUAAUUACAUAAGUAGUAAUGCAUGUGGCACUAGGGAUGAAUUGAACACACCAGCCCACUGAGAAUUCCAUCCUAUCUCAUAGGAGGACUUUAUAACAUCAGCAUUAAUAGAGUUUGAAUGUCAUAUCAUACUUCAAGACAAAACUGAGAGCCCAACUUUUAUGCUGUGGAAUCCCAUCAGCAGUGGCUCCUAACACAGUUGAACCCACAGGGCACUAGGGUGAGCCUUUGGCAGCAGGGAGAGGCUGGUGCUGGCUCUGCAGCACGUGUGGGAGCCAGGCAGUUCCAGUGUACCCUGGGUGUUGGGGGGGGUGAGAUGCGCUUUGCCAAGGUGGAGUGGGUUUGUAGCUUAGCUGCUGGAGGGUGGAGGAAAAAGCAGUCUCAGAACACAUGGAUUAUAUGAUUCAUAGAAUCAUAGAAUUGCCUGGGUUGAACAGGACCACUGUGAUCAUCCAGUUUCAA